This 513-nucleotide ribosomal RNA is filed under the name Listeria monocytogenes. RNAcentral's name for it is "partial 23S ribosomal RNA". It matches the Rfam family "Bacterial large subunit ribosomal RNA", at positions 685 to 1195 of the family's 2925-position model. The record is from RNAcentral. Lineage: Bacteria; Bacillati; Bacillota; Bacilli; Caryophanales; Listeriaceae.
GAAUAGGGCGCAUAAGUAACAGGUCGUAGACCCGAAACCAGGUGAUCUACCCAUGUCCAGGAUGAAGGUAAGGUAAUACUUACUGGAGGUCCGAACCCACGCACGUUGAAAAGUGCGGGGAUGAGGUGUGGGUAGCGGAGAAAUUCCAAUCGAACUUGGAGAUAGCUGGUUCUCUCCGAAAUAGCUUUAGGGCUAGCCUCGAGGUAAAGAGUCAUGGAGGUAGAGCACUGUUUGGACUAGGGGCCCUUCUCGGGUUACCGAAUUCAGAUAAACUCCGAAUGCCAUGUACUUAUACUCGGGAGUCAGACUGCGAGUGAUAAGAUCCGUAGUCGAAAGGGAAACAGCCCAGACCACCAGUUAAGGUCCCCAAAUAUAUGUUAAGUGGAAAAGGAUGUGGGGUUGCUUAGACAACCAGGAUGUUGGCUUAGAAGCAGCCACCAUUGAAAGAGUGCGUAAUAGCUCACUGGUCGAGUGACCCCGCGCCGAAAAUGUACCGGGGCUAAACAUAUUACC